AGAGUUUGAUCCUGGCUCAGAGUGAACGCUGGCGGCAGGCCUAACACAUGCAAGUCGAGCGGCAGCGCGGGGGCAACCCUGGCGGCGAGCGGCGGACGGGUGAGGAAUGCAUCGGAAUCUACCUCGNUUGUGGGGGAUAACGUAGGGAAACUUACGCUAAUACCGCAUACGACCUACGGGUGAAAGUGGGGGACCUUCGGGCCUCACGCGAUGAGAUGAGCCGAUGCCGGAUUAGCUAGUUGGUGGGGUAAAGGCCUACCAAGGCGACGAUCCGUAGCUGGUCUGAGAGGAUGAUCAGCCACACUGGAACUGAGACACGGUCCAGACUCCUACGGGAGGCAGCAGUGGGGAAUAUUGGACAAUGGGCGCAAGCCUGAUCCAGCCAUGCCGCGUGUGUGAAGAAGGCCUUCGGGUUGUAAAGCACUUUUGUUGGGGAAGAAACCGACCGGAUUAAUACUUCGGUUGAAUGACGGUACCCAAAGAAUAAGCACCGGCUAACUUCGUGCCAGCAGCCGCGGUAAUACGAAGGGUGCAAGCGUUACUCGGAAUUACUGGGCGUAAUGCGUGCGUAGGCGGUUAGUUAAGUCUGCUGUGAAAGCCCUGGGCUCAACCUGGGAACUGCANUGGAUACUGGCUAGCUAGAGUGUGUCAGAGGAUGGUGGAAUUCCCGGUGUAGCGGUGAAAUGCGUAGAGAUCGGGAGGAACACCAGUGGC
Molecule: ribosomal RNA, 714 nt
Filed under: uncultured bacterium
Lineage: Bacteria
Description: bacterial SSU rRNA
Rfam family: Bacterial small subunit ribosomal RNA
Source: RNAcentral